CUGCAGCUACGACAAAUCAACAGCUAAUGGAUAGAGGAAACCAGAUGAUGGAUGAGGCUGAUCAAGCCAUUGACAGGGCUAAGAAGGUUGUUCAAGAUACUGUUGAUGUUGGAACAGAAACUGCUGCAGCUCUCAAGGCUCAGACUGAACAAAUGAGCAGGAUAAUUAAUGAGCUGGAUUAUAUCCAUCUCUCAAUCCAGAAAGCAUCUAAACUGGU
Hibiscus syriacus is the source of this 217-nucleotide long non-coding RNA. RefSeq lists it as uncharacterized. NCBI's taxonomy places the organism in Eukaryota, Viridiplantae, Streptophyta, Magnoliopsida, Malvales, Malvaceae. The record is from RefSeq and is a predicted model, not a curated record. The transcript is spliced from 3 exons.